RNAcentral lists this ribosomal RNA (561 nucleotides) under Rhodotorula glutinis. RNAcentral's name for it is "partial large subunit ribosomal RNA". It matches the Rfam family "Eukaryotic large subunit ribosomal RNA", at positions 50 to 616 of the family's 3401-position model. The record is from RNAcentral. Lineage: Eukaryota; Fungi; Basidiomycota; Microbotryomycetes; Sporidiobolales; Sporidiobolaceae.
GCGGAGGAAAAGAAACUAACAAGGAUUCCCCUAGUAGCGGCGAGCGAAGCGGGAAGAGCUCAAAUUUAUAAUCUGGCACCUUCGGUGUCCGAGUUGUAAUCUCUAGAAGUGUUUUCCGCGUUGGACCGCACACAAGUCUGUUGGAAUACAGCGGCAUAGUGGUGAAACCCCCGUAUAUGGUGCGGACGCCCAGCGCUUUGUGAUACACUUUCAAUGAGUCGAGUUGUUUGGGAAUGCAGCUCAAAUUGGGUGGUAAAUUCCAUCUAAAGCUAAAUAUUGGCGAGAGACCGAUAGCGAACAAGUACCGUGAGGGAAAGAUGAAAAGCACUUUGGAAAGAGAGUUAACAGUACGUGAAAUUGUUGGAAGGGAAACGCUUGAAGUCAGACUUGCUUGCCGGAGCUUGCUUCGGUUUGCAGGCCAGCAUCAGUUUUCCGGGGUGGAUAAUAACGGUUUGAAGGUAGCAGUCUCGGCUGUGUUAUAGCUUUCCGUUGGAUACAUCCUGGGGGACUGAGGAACGCAGCGUGCUUUUUGCGAAAGACUCGUCUUUUUCACGCUUAGGA